This 227-nucleotide long non-coding RNA is filed under the name Sorghum bicolor (sorghum). RNAcentral describes it as "long non-coding RNA (SBIC_LNC006345)". Lineage: Eukaryota; Viridiplantae; Streptophyta; Magnoliopsida; Poales; Poaceae. The record is from RNAcentral.
GUGAAGGGUCGAGAUGGCGGACUAGAGGGGGGGUGAAUAGUCCUUUCUAAAAGUUAUUACGCCGGCUAACCGAAAACAAAUGCGGAAUUAAAACUAUCGGUCUAGCCAAGACUACACCCCUCUAUCUAAGUUCUCUAGCACCUUCAAAAGAUCCUAAACAAGCAAGCAAGGUGCUACCUUAGCAAGAGCUCACCUAACCAAUUCUAGGAGCAAGGUCACACAAACCU